UGGGUAACCCGCCUCAAAGAGGGGAAUAGCCUCCCGAAUGGGGAGAUUAAUACCGCAUAAUAUGUUUAAGUCGCAUGACUUUAACAUCAAAGGAUUUUCUUUUAGAAAUUCCACUUUGAGAUGGACCCGCGGCGCAUUAGCUAGUUGGUGAGGUAAUGGCUCACCAAGGCGACGACGGGUAGCCGGCUGAGAGGGCGAUCGGCCACACUGGGACUGAGACACGGCCCAGACCUCCGUACGGGAGCA
This 246-nucleotide ribosomal RNA is filed under the name uncultured bacterium. RNAcentral describes it as "partial 16S ribosomal RNA". It matches the Rfam family "Bacterial small subunit ribosomal RNA", at positions 118 to 347 of the family's 1533-position model. The record is from RNAcentral.